This 120-nucleotide ribosomal RNA is filed under the name uncultured bacterium. RNAcentral describes it as "partial 16S ribosomal RNA". It matches the Rfam family "Bacterial small subunit ribosomal RNA", at positions 32 to 148 of the family's 1533-position model. The record is from RNAcentral.
AAUCAACGCUGGCGGCGUGCCUAACACAUGCAAGUCGAACGCGGUUACCUCGCAAGGGGUAACUGAGUGGCGAACGGGUGAGUAACGCGUGGGUGACCUACCUCUGAGUGGGGGAUAACG